RNAcentral lists this ribosomal RNA (431 nucleotides) under uncultured Elusimicrobium sp. Its description in RNAcentral is "bacterial SSU rRNA". It matches the Rfam family "Bacterial small subunit ribosomal RNA", at positions 958 to 1385 of the family's 1533-position model. The record is from RNAcentral. Lineage: Bacteria; Pseudomonadati; Elusimicrobiota; Elusimicrobia; Elusimicrobiales; Elusimicrobiaceae.
AACGCGAAGAACCUUACCUGGGCUUGAACUACUCGUGGUAAGCUGAUGGAAACAUUAGCUGACCCGCAAGGGAGCGAGCAGAGGUGCUGCAUGGUUGUCGUCAGCUCGUGUCGUGAGAUGUUGGGUUAAGUCCCGCAACGAGCGCAACCCCUACUCGAUGUUGCUAAUCCCGCAAGGGAUGCACUCUUCGAGAACUGCCUUCGAUAAGAAGGAGGAAGGUGGGGACGACGUCAAAUCCUCAUGGCCCUUAUGUCCAGGGCUACACACGUGCUACAAUGGCCGGUACAACGGGAAGCAAUACCGUAAGGUGGAGCCAAACCCUGAAAGCCGGCCCCAGUUCAGAUUGUGGGCUGCAACUCGCCCACAUGAAGGCGGAAUCGCUAGUAAUCGCGAAUCAGCAGGUCGCGGUGAAUACGUUCCCGGGCCUUGUA